Molecule: non-coding RNA, 839 nt
Organism: Punica granatum (pomegranate)
Lineage: Eukaryota; Viridiplantae; Streptophyta; Magnoliopsida; Myrtales; Lythraceae
Source: RefSeq, a predicted model, not a curated record
GCCAAAAAUUUGCUACCCUCAAAAACGUGCAAGAUCGUGCUGUUUUUGUUUUCUUUUCUAGCUUGAAUACAGGCAAGAGAGCUAGUAAGUAUAAUUGGAGUGACAGGUAAAUGUUUUUCUCCUCCCAUUGCAGGAGAAUAUUUAGCUCGAUAAACUUAAUGGUGUGGAAAUGAUUGCCUGUGGCUUGGCCACACACUAUGCACUGAAUGCAAGACUUCCAAUGUUGGAGGAACGACUUGGUAAAUUGGUCACAGAUGAUGCAUCUAUUAUAGAGAAAGCUCUUGCACAAUACUGUGAUUUUGUUUAUCCAGACAAGAGGAGUAUUAUUUGGAAGAUUGGUGCGAUCGAUAAAUGCUUUUGCCAUGAUACCAUUGAGGAGAUCAUCCAUGCAGUGGAAAGUGAGGCUGCUGAUUCUUACAAUGUGUGGUAAAAAACGACCCUCAAGAAACUGAGAGAAGCUUCUCCACUGAGCUUAUUCGUGAAGGGAGGUUUGAGACCCCUGACCGGUGUUUGGCUCGUGAAUGUAGAAUAUCACUUGGCUCUGCCUCUCAAUAGGUUUCUAAGGACUUCUCUGAGGGAUGCAAUAAUAUCCAUAUAUUUAUGAUCUAUCCAUGUCUAUUAUUUCAUUCUAAUGAAAAUACUUGCAAAACUGAAGGGAGUUGGAGCAUGGCCAGUGGACAAGGAUUUCGCGCCAAAGUGGAGUCCUCCGAGUUUGGGAGAAGUGACAGAAGAGAUGGUUGAUUUCUAUUUCUGUACACUUGAGGAAUCCGAGUUGGAACUCAAGCUGCUCACAGCUCUUCGAGAGCCAUCUGUUUGAGAUAGAUGGUCAGUGCCAGAUG